RNAcentral lists this ribosomal RNA (464 nucleotides) under Vreelandella stevensii. Its description in RNAcentral is "partial 16S ribosomal RNA". It matches the Rfam family "Bacterial small subunit ribosomal RNA", at positions 338 to 795 of the family's 1533-position model. The record is from RNAcentral. Lineage: Bacteria; Pseudomonadati; Pseudomonadota; Gammaproteobacteria; Oceanospirillales; Halomonadaceae.
CCUACGGGCGGCUGCAGUGGGGAAUAUUGGACAAUGGGGGCAACCCUGAUCCAGCCAUGCCGCGUGUGUGAAGAAGGCCCUCGGGUUGUAAAGCACUUUCAGUGAGGAAGAACGCCUGGUGGUUAAUACCCAUCAGGAAAGACAUCACUCACAGAAGAAGCACCGGCUAACUCCGUGCCAGCAGCCGCGGUAAUACGGAGGGUGCGAGCGUUAAUCGGAAUUACUGGGCGUAAAGCGCGCGUAGGUGGCUUGAUAAGCCGGUUGUGAAAGCCCCGGGCUCAACCUGGGAACGGCAUCCGGAACUGUCAAGCUAGAGUGCAGGAGAGGAAGGUAGAAUUCCCGGUGUAGCGGUGAAAUGCGUAGAGAUCGGGAGGAAUACCAGUGGCGAAGGCGGCCUUCUGGACUGACACUGACACUGAGGUGCGAAAGCGUGGGUAGCAAACAGGAUUAGAUACCCGGUAGUC